RNAcentral lists this ribosomal RNA (1039 nucleotides) under uncultured bacterium. RNAcentral describes it as "bacterial SSU rRNA". It matches the Rfam family "Bacterial small subunit ribosomal RNA", at positions 477 to 1505 of the family's 1533-position model. The record is from RNAcentral.
ACCGGGAGAAUAAGCUCCGGCUAACUCCGUGCCAGCAGCCGCGGUAAUACGGAGGGAGCUAGCGUUGUUCGGAAUUACUGGGCGUAAAGCGCACGUAGGCGGCUAUUCAAGUCAGAGGUGAAAGCCCGGGGCUCAACCCCGGAACUGCCUUUGAAACUAGAUAGCUUGAAUCCAGGAGAGGUGAGUGGAAUUCCGAGUGUAGAGGUGAAAUUCGUAGAUAUUCGGAAGAACCACCAGUGGCGAAGGCGGCUCACUGGACUGGUAUUGACGCUGAGGUGCGAAAGCGUGGGGAGCAAACCAGGAUUAGAUACCCUGGUAGUCCACGCCGUAAACGAUGAUAACUAGCUGUCAGGGCACAUGGUGUUUUGGUGGCGCAGCUAACGCAUUAAGUUAUCCGCCUGGGGAGUACGGUCGCAAGAUUAAAACUCAAAGGAAUUGACGGGGGCCUGCACAAGCGGUGGAGCAUGUGGCUUAAUUCGAAGCAACGCGCAGAACCUUACCAACGUUUGACAUCCCUAUCGCGGAUCGUGGAGACACUUUCCUUCAGUUCGGCUGGAUAGGUGACAGGUGCUGCAUGGCUGUCGUCAGCUCGUGUCGUGAGAUGUAGGGUUAAGUCCCGCAACGAGCGCAACCCUCGCCUUUAGUUGCCAGCAUUUAGUUGGGUACUCUAAAGGAACCGCCCGGUGAUAAGCCGGAGGAAGGUGGGGAUGACGUCAAGUCCUCAUGGCCCUUACGCGUUGGGCUACACACGUGCUACAAUGGCGACUACAGUGGGGCAGCCACCUCGCGAGAGGGAGCUUAAUCUUCCAAAAGUCGUCUCAAUUUCGGAUCGUUCUNCUGCAACUCGAGAGCGUGAAGGCGGGAAUCGCUAGUAAUCGCGGAUCACCAUGCCGCGGUGAAUACGUUCCCAGGCCUUGUACACACCGCCCGUCACACCAUGGGAGUUGGAUUCACUCGAAGGCGUUGAGCUAACCGUAAGGAGGCAGGCGACCACAGUGGGUUUAGCGACUGGGGUGAAGUCGUAACAAGGUAGCCGUAG